Molecule: long non-coding RNA, 3293 nt
Organism: Alligator mississippiensis (American alligator)
Lineage: Eukaryota; Metazoa; Chordata; Crocodylia; Alligatoridae
Exons: 8
Source: RefSeq, a predicted model, not a curated record
CCGGCGCCUGAGCUGGCUUAGCCUCGUCCGCGCGCCUGGUCGCGCCCCUCGUGGCUCCCGCGCGGUGUAGAGCCUCUUCGCGUGCCUUUGGCCGCCCUGCUGCCGGGUCCUGCACAUACACACAACUGACUCACACACACACACACACAGUUUUACUCUUGCCUGCCCUGUAUGUACACAUGCACCUGGCUUUCUUGCUUGUCAUGUGUGCACACACAUAUGCACGUGGCCUUUGCCUGUCACAUACCCAUGCAUGUGUGUGCACACACGGCUUUACCUUUUCCUGUCACACACACAAACACAUACACAUGUAGGGCUUUACCUUUGCCUUUCAUGCCCGUGCACACACAGCUUUACUCUUGUCUAUCACUAUUGCAUACAUGUGUGGCUUUACCUUUGCUCAUCACACGCAUGCACACACAGCUUUACCCUUGCCUAUCACACGUGCAGAUGUGCACAGACCCCUGGCACCUCCCCCCCCCGCUUUACUCUUGCUUGUCUCACACACACACACACACACACACACACACACGACUUUCCUCUUGCCUAUCACACAUGCACAUGCACACAUGUACCUGGCUUUCUUGCUUGUCACGUGCACACACAUGCAUGUGGCCUUUGCCUGUCACAUACACAUGCAUGUGUGCAUGCACACACACAUGGCUUUACCCUUGGCAAUCACACACACGUGCACGUGGCUUUACCCUUGCCUGUUACACGCAUGCUUACGUGGCCCUGCUGAAUCCCCCUCUCCCAAAGCAUCUGCCACAGUAUGAGAGAAAACCCGUGUUGAACACCUAACCCUGACGUCCAGUGGCCAAGAGUUGCUGGGAUCCCUGGAGCAGGCUGGGCUGCCCUUUGGCGGUGUCCAGGGCAGGGGCAGAGGGGAAGAGCUUUGUGUUGAUUCUCUGUCCUUCGCAGUUGAGGAUGAUUGUCUUCCAUGAUUGUCUUAUCUGUGUGUCUGAAGAUGGCUGAUGAGGCCUAUCCAGGACCGACUACACUGACAGACAGACUGUACUGCAGCUCAGACCCCUCCUUGUUUGAUGUCACUUGAACAGCUGUGACUGGCUGUGGUUACAAUGGAUCUAAGUUCUUGUCAGCUGGCAGGCUUUAAAAGGAAGGAAUUCUACCUGAUCAACACAUCAAAGAGCUACUCAACACAGCUCAAAGACUCUUUCAUGGACCCAGAGGGACAGCCUUCCAUCUUCAGCUCCCCCAGGACAGUUUUCUUGCCAUUUUCCAGUUGGUAAUAAAAGGACCUUUUCUCCAGCAUGCCUUUCUGGGUCUGCAUCUUUAAAUUUGAGAGAAGAGAACUGAUGCAGCCCUAUGUGACAAGUGUCUUUACUGCAUCUCCUGCUCCUCCAGUUGAAAGGAUGCAUCAAACCAAUGGUUUUGGUGGAAUUGCACAUACCGGGAUGAAAUUUCUAAAAUCUGAGAGAGCGGUACUCACACAUCCUAGAAGAGCCAGUGACCUAGGGGACAGGACAUUCACCUAUAAUAUGGACAACUAAGGUGUACAAGUUCUCGUUUGCCCCAUCCAAGGACCAGGCACCUAAGGAAGAAGCAGCCCGAGGAAUGCCCUCCACAGCAGAGUGGCAGACGGUCACAUCCAGGACCGGAGCUGCUCGCAGCAAACAGGUACCAGUUCCUCCAGUUCGACUGGAGAACAGGUACGAGGCCCUGGCGACCCUGCAGGAAAUGGAAGGAGAGGAGGAAACCCUUGGGCAGGAAGCAACACCACAUUCUCCACGCUCUGAACAAGUCAAGAGAUCCAAGAGGACCCAGAGGAGGAGGCGACGAGUGCUCGUCACAGGCGACUCCAUCCUGAGAGUGAACCGACGCGGAAGACGGCAUGAGAACUGCAUCAGAGAGACCAACUGGCGGCUUCAGCAGUGGUGUCUCGAGGCAGGCUUCAGCUUCCUGGACAAUGACCCACACAUUACGACGAGGGACAUCCUCAGUUGGGAUGGGCUUCACCUGUCCCCCAAAGGUAAGCGUGUGUUUUCUUCUAGGUUGGUGGAUCUCCUCCGGCGGGCUUUAAACUAGGCUCGUCGUGGGGAGGGGAAGAUGUGGACCACCAAACCCUGUGGCACCCACAAGGACAGCCCAGCCUGAAGAAGGAGAACAUUGGGAAUCUUCAAGCCAUGGGAUGGCCAGCACCACAGCACAGGUAAGCAAUGAGAAGGUAAGAAAUAAGGGGCCCCUUGGGAUUCGGAGCGGGGGGGGCAGCAAAGGCACCAGUCGCAGGGCUCAAGUGCCUAUAUACUAAUGCUAGGAGCAUGGGGAACAAGCAGGAUGAACUAGCGCUCCUGCUUGCACAAAACACCUAUGACUUAGUAGGGCUAACGGAAACCUGGUGGGAUUCAUCCCACGACUGGGUGGUACAUAUUGAGGGUUACAGAUUGUACAGAAAGGACAGGGUGGGGAAAAAAGGGGGAGGGGUUGCGCUGUAUGUCAAUGAGCAAUAUACAUCGACCCUCAUCAAGACGGAAUCGAAGGAUGAGGAAGUAGAAGGAUUGUGGGUUAGGCUACAUGGGGGGCAAGGAGAAAGGGAUUUGGUGGCAGGGGUCUGCUACAGACCCCCCACACCAAGAGGAAGAACUAGAUUCGGGGCUCCUGAGGCAGCUCUCGGAGACCAUAAACGCUAAAGAGGCAGUAGUCCAGGGGGACCUAAACUACCCAGACAUCUGCUGGGAGACGCAGACAGCAAAGUCCCACCGCUCACGCAGGUUUCUAACCUGUGUACAGGACCUCCACCUGACACAGGAGGUACACGGUCCCACUAGGGGAAAUGCCAUACUGGAUCUGGUAUUGGCAACGGGGGAUGACAUGGUAGGGGACCUACAGAUCGGUAGCCAUCUGGGGGACAGUGAUCACCUAAUAAUAGAAUUCUUUAUAAAACGUUGAGUGGGUAAGGUAACUAGUAGGGUGAAAGUGCUAGACUUUAGGAAAGCUGAUUUCAAUGAACUCAGACGAUUAGUCAAGGACGCACUGCAGAGUAGGAGUUUUGAAGUGAUGGGAGCCCAAGAAGGGUGGCUGUGCCUUAAGGAAAUGAUCCUUCAGGCACAAAGCGUGACGAUCCAGAUGCGAGGAAAAAGAGGGAAAGGGGCCAGAAGGCUUCCUUGGCUGACCAGAGAAAUCCAGGGCAGCUUAAGGGCCAAAAGGGGAGCGCAUAAAAAGUGGAAACAGGGAGAAAUCACCAAAGAUGAAUAUACCUCCUCUGCUCGUGCUUGUAGGGAGGCAGUUAGACGGGCCAAAGCUACCGUGGAGCUGAGGAUGGCAUCCCAAGUAAA